Cannabis sativa is the source of this 474-nucleotide long non-coding RNA. RefSeq lists it as uncharacterized. NCBI's taxonomy places the organism in Eukaryota, Viridiplantae, Streptophyta, Magnoliopsida, Rosales, Cannabaceae. The transcript is spliced from 3 exons. The record is from RefSeq and is a predicted model, not a curated record.
UGUUUGAUUAAAAUUGAUUUUUGAUGAAAUGAAAAGCAAUUUUCUGGUUUUGCUUUCACUCUUGGCCGACCCCCUCUCUCUCCCAAACCCUCUUAUUAUUUCAAAAGUUGAAUUUGAAGAAAAGCUUGGUUCUUAGCUUGUUUUGGAGCUUUGAAGUUGUGAAUUCUUGGUUUGAGUUUGAGGAUUACCGGCACCUGGUCAGGAGCACCCGGGGAUUUGGAAUCUCUACUAUUGCGGGACAACAGGAAAGGGUAAGGCAUUAGCUGAUCAGCCAUGAGUUUCAGGAGCAGGGCGAAGAAUGUACAUGUUCAUGCCACUUCAGACCAAGCGGGUUAUGGGUCUAACAGUGUUGACUUUUGUAUUCUGUUUUGCCGCUUAGGUCGGCUAGUAAGAAAGAACUUGUAAUAAGUUUGUAAAUGUUUUUGGGAUCCCAACUAUUUUGAAAAGUUUAAAUAUAUUACAAGUUUAUUUUCA